AUGGUGACCAGCUCCGGCGGCGACGGCGCACACGGAGUCGACGGAAGCGGCAACGACGCACUCGGCGGCGAGGGUGGUGAGUCGGCCGCAGCGGUGGGCCUGUCGCCGGAGCCUGGUACCGAGGAAGCAGCUUUGCAGAUUGGUCCCAAGGAUGUGCUCCUGUUCGCCCCAUCUUCAGCUCGGCCUGAAGAUUUAUGGUCAAUCUAUUUCCAGUUUCCUGGGAAGAAGUAUGCUCUUGUUAAGAUGUCUGAAAGAGAAAUCACUUAUGGUAGUUUGGUCAAUGUAAUGGUCACCAAUGGAUACUGUAAGGAUGGCAGUCUUUGCUACUUGAAAGAGGAAGAUAUAGGGCUGCAAGGUGUUUGUGUCAUUAAAGGCAACAUUGAAGUAGUUCGAAUGCCGAGAGAAUUUGAGAGCACCCAGACAUUGUCACUGACAGUUGUAAAGGUAAAGUUAGUUAUUCAACCACCAAUUGGAGAAGAUCAAGAUGCACAGCAAAUAGAUGCAGAGCCAGAUGUUGUCUUUGUUGUUGCUGAAUCAGGUGUUGUGCACAAAUCAGUUCCUCCUAACUGUCAGUUACAUCUUGGGACACAGGAAAGUGUAAAUUUUUUGCCACUCAAAUCAGUUCCUCCUAACUGUCAGUUACAUCUUGGGACACAACUUAACACUGAAGUAAGUGUCAAUUAUGCUGAUUUUCAGUUUGAUUCAGAUGAGGAGGACAAUGCAGUUAGUGAGGAAGAAAUUCCUGUAGGAGAAGAAGAAGAUGACUCAGAUUCAAGCAGUGAUGAAGAAUUUGUAGUUGAUGUGGACCUCUUAGGUGCAGGAGAAGAAGAAGAUGACUCAGAUUCAGUGCAGUAUGUGGAAGAACAGAGAGCAAAGAGGAGGAAAGAGGAACCUGAGUUAGAUGAAACUAUUGCUGACAUAAAGAGGAAGAGAGCUGAAUACAUGGCUAGUACACACUGUGAGGGGGACACAGAUGCUGAAAAUAUAUAUGACAUCGACCAGGAAGAAGAUGAUGAGGAGGCCCAAGAGAUCCCAGUUCCUGAGCCUGUUAAGAAGAAGGCAAAGAGGCCAGCUCCUACAAGUAGGUCCCACUCAAGUGCUGGGCCAACCAUUAAUCCUGAUUGGUUUCCAUCUUUAGAAGAGGAAGAUACAGGCUUUGAAGGAGAUGAUGAUGGCAAUGAACCAAUGUCCUUUGUUAUCAGCUCUGGCAGAAGGAGUAGAGCUAAGAAAAGACCACCUAGGGUCUGGUAUGAUGAGGACAGGAUGCAUCCAGAACAACAAUUUCAGCUGAAGCUCUGUUUCAAAGAUGUUUACCAAUUCAGAGAGGCCCUUGUCUACUUGCAUGUGAAACAACUUAGAAGAUACAAAUAUCACAGAAACUGCAGUGAUAGGAUAAUAGUUUGCUGUGAUGGAGAUGGAUGUCAGUUCUACAUGGUAGCAGCACAGAUAAGAAAUGAGCCCACUUUCUGCAUUAAGAAGAUGAUGUUGGAGCACACAUGUACCACCCAGUCUGAGAAAACUAGGAUUAGUUCAAGGUGGCUUGGCAACAAAAUGCUUGAAACUAUCAGAUCAGAUCCCAACACUACUGUACCUGCUAUUGUUGACAAGGCAAAUAGGCAAUUUGGGCUUGAGAUUCCUAGGAUGAUGGCAUGGAGGGCUAAGAAGAAAGCAAAGGAGAUUGUGCUUGGUGAUCACAAGAAGCAAUAUAAGAGGCUGAGAGACUAUUUGGAGACUGUGAAGCUUACAAAUCCUGGAUCUAGGUGCAUUGUCACUACUAUUAGUGGCAAACCCAGAGAAAAUCCUACUGCUGGACCAAGGAUCCAUGGUCUAUUUUUCAGUUUGAAUGCAUGUUGUGAGGGCUUCUUGAAUGGAUGAGGAAGUGAAGAGGGCAAAUUUGGAAAGUACACAUUCAUGUCUGAUAGACAGAAGGGUCUACUCAAUGCAGUGAUAGCAGUAUUCCCAAACUACCAUCAUAGGUACUGUUUGAGGCACAUCUAUGCAAACUUCCAGAGAGCAGGAUUUGGAGGAGAGGAUUUGAAGAGAUGCAUGGAUGCAGUUGCCUAUGGUUACACUGAACAUGACUUUAAUUUGGCUAUGGAAAGCAUGAAGGCUGAGUGCACUGCUGCUUGGGAGUGGAUGUCAAGAAUUCCUCCUAAAGCUUGGUCUAGGCAUGCAAUGGACACUAAUUGCAAAACUGAUUUGGUGGUGAAUAACUUAAGUGAAGUUUUUAAUAAGUACAUUCUAGAUGUAAGGAACAAGCCAAUUGUUACAAUGAUCAAUGGGAUCAAGGACAAGUUUCUAGUGAGGUUCCACCAGAAGAGAGAGGGUGGAAAAUGUGCUAGAUGGGAGAUUGCACCAACCUAUGCAGAGAGGUUGGAGAUGAACAAGAAGUAUGCAAGGGAUUGCAAAGCACUGAUAGCUGGCCAAGGACUUUUCCAAGUCACUAGUGGAGACAAGACCUAUGGUGUUGACACAAACCUACAGACAUGUGGGUGCAAGAAAUGGGACAUCACUGGAGUUCCUUGCAACCAUGCUUGUUCUGCCAUCUAUAGGUCUAAACAGCUGCCAGAGGAUCAUAUCAAUGUGUUUUUCCAGAAAUCUAUGUACUUGGAGGCAUAUAAGCCAGAAAACAGGACUGUACCUGAAUGGCACCAUGGUGCAGCUUCAUCUGCUACUGGAAGUGCUAGGGGUGCACCAUCAUCAUCUACUACAAACUCCUCUCCUGCUGCUGCAAGAGGUGCAAAGACUACUAGUGCUGCAGGAAGGGGUGCAUCCUCAUCUCCUGCUGCUGGAAGGGGUGCUAGUUCAUCUGCUGCUGCUGGAAGAGGAGCAAAGUCUGCUACUACUCCUGGAAGGGGUGCUAGUUCUUCUCCUACUGCUGGGAGAGGUGCAAGAUCUUCCACUGCUGCUGGAAGGGGUGCAAAAAGGUUCAAGCCUCCAAGAAGUUCUGCAGAAGCUUCUACUAGCCAGCCUGCAGGCAGUAGGCCAAAGAGGACAAAGUACAUGAGCAAGAGGAUGGAGGGGUACUUUUAUGCCAGAGGAAGUGAAGAGGGCAAAUUUGGAAAGUACACAUUCAUGUCUGAUAGACAGAAGGGUCUACUCAAUGCAGUGACAGCAGUAUUCCCAAACUACCAUCAUAGGUACUGUUUGAGGCACAUCUAUGCAAACUUCAAGAGAGCAGGAUUUGGAGGAGAGGAUUUGAAGAGAUGCAUGGAUGCAGUUGCCUAUGGUUACACUGAACAUGACUUUAAUUUGGCUAUGGAAAGCAUGAAGGCUGAGUGCACUGCUGCUUGGGAGUGGAUAUCAAGAAUUCCUCCUAAAGCUUGGUCUAGGCAUGCAAUGGACACUAAUUGCAAAACUGAUUUGGUGGUGAAUAACUUAAGUGAAGUUUUUAAUAAGUACAUUCUAGAUGUAAGGAACAAGCCAAUUGUUACAAUGAUCAAUGGGAUCAAGGACAAGUUUCUAGUGAGGUUCCACCAGAAGAGAGAGGGUGGAAAAUGUGCUAGAUGGGAGAUUGCACCAACCUAUGCAGAGAGGUUGGAGAUGAACAAGAAGUAUGCAAGGGAUUGCAAAGCACUGAUAGCUGGCCAAGGACUUUUCCAAGUCACUAGUGGAGACAAGACCUAUGGUGUUGACACAAACCUACAGACAUGUGGGUGCAAGAAAUGGGACAUCACUGGAGUUCCUUGCAACCAUGCUUGUUCUGCCAUCUAUAGGUCUAAACAGCUGCCAGAGGAUCAUAUCAAUGUGUUUUUCCAGAAAUCUAUGUACUUGGAGGCAUAUAAGCCAGAAAAGAGGACUGUACCUGAAUGGCACCAUGGUGCAGCUUCAUCAGCUACUGGAAGUGCUAGGGGUGCACCAUCAUCAUCUACUACAAACUCCUCUCCUGCUGCUGCAAGAGGUGCAAAGACUACUAGUGCUGCAGGAAGGGGUGCAUCCUCAUCUCCUGCUGCUGGAAGGGGUGCUAGUUCAUCUGCUGCUGCUGGAAGAGGAGCAAAGUCUGCUACUACUCCUGGAAGGGGUGCUAGUUCUUCUCCUACUGCUGGGAGAGGUGCAAGAUCUUCCACUGCUGCUGGAAGGGGUGCAAAAAGGUUCAAGCCUCCAAGAAGUUCUGCAGAAGCUUCUACUAGCCAGCCUGCAGGCAGUAGGCCAAAGAGGACAAAGUACAUGAGCAAGAGGAUGGAGGGGUACUUUUAUGCCAGUGGGAACUAUUAA
Molecule: ribosomal RNA, 4215 nt
Filed under: Triticum aestivum (bread wheat)
Lineage: Eukaryota; Viridiplantae; Streptophyta; Magnoliopsida; Poales; Poaceae
Description: partial small subunit ribosomal RNA
Source: RNAcentral